GUCUUGAUUCUAGUGAGGUCAUAGUGUAGAGGGUAAGGUCAUAAUGGCAAUGUGCCUCCAAACCUUGAUAGAGGCCAAGACUACCAGCCACUUAGGAAUUCUUCUGCUUGGGUCAGGCUUGGUGGUGCAUGCCUGUAAUCCCAGCACUUUGGGAGGCCGAGGCUAGAGGAUUGCUUGAGCUUAGGAGUUUGAGAUCAGCCUGGGCAACGUGGUGAGACCCCAUGUAUACACAAAGAGAAAAAAAAAGAAGUUCUCCUGCUUGUAGCUUAGGCUAUUCAUUUUUAGAAGAGUUUACAGCACAUUUUUCACUGCAUAGACAGCUGUGUACUUGAAGAAUGUAAACAUGAAGAAAACACUGAGUUCAAUAAAUGUGUCUUCUAUGUGCCAGGUCCUGUGGUAUUUGUAAGGGAUAGAAACUUGUCUUUCAGGAUCUUGAAAUCAGGAUCAUAGGGCUAGACACAACAAUAAAGAGAAUUUUUUUGGAGUCCAUUCAAUAAUAGUAAGUUUAAAGUAUGGAAAUAUUACCGAGGAGGGAAUGUUUGACUUCAGGAACAGGUCAGAGAACGCUUCACAGAUAUGCUAGCACCUGAGCAGGAUUUUGAGGAAUAAAUGGAAGUUUUCAGUGGAAGAGAUAGAUGGCAUUGUAGAUAAAAGAGAACAGCAUAGUUAAAGAUAUGAACAAGUAAACUGUGUGUUCAAGAAAUUUCAAGUUGUUUUUUCUUGGAGUACAUGCAAAAUCUGAAGAAAGAGGGUUGCUAGAGAAAGCCCUAACGCAUGCUAUUACAUUUAAUAAGUCAAAUAGUUGGCUUUUUGGGUAUGAAGUAUAUGUAAAAUAGAGACUGUUAUAUUUUUGACACUGCUGCCAUCUUUUUUUUUUCUUUUUCUUUUUUGACAAAGAGUCUCAGGCUGUCACCCAAGGUGUAGUGCAGUGGCACAAUCACUGCUCACUACAGCCUCGACCCCCAGGCUCAGGUGAUCCUCCCACCUUAGCCUCUCAAGUAGCUGGGACCACAGUCGUGCACCGCUAUGCCUGCUAACUGUUGUACAUUUUGUAGAGAAGGGGUUUUGCCAUGUUUCCCUGGCUGAUCUUGAACUCCCGGGCUCAAGC
Molecule: long non-coding RNA, 1108 nt
Filed under: Homo sapiens (human)
Lineage: Eukaryota; Metazoa; Chordata; Mammalia; Primates; Hominidae
Description: HSALNT0353312
Source: RNAcentral